Molecule: ribosomal RNA, 376 nt
Filed under: uncultured organism
Description: partial 16S ribosomal RNA
Rfam family: Bacterial small subunit ribosomal RNA
Source: RNAcentral
GGAGGGGGCCAGCGUUGUUCGGAAUUAUUGGGCGUAAAGGGCGCGCAGGCGGCCAGGCCAGUCGGAGGUGAAAUCCCUCAGCUUAACUGAGGAACUGCCUCCGAUACUGCAUGGCUUGAGUCCCGGAGAGGGUAGCGGAAUUCCUAGUGUAGCGGUGAAAUGCGUAGAUAUUAGGAGGAACACCAGUGGCGAAGGCGGCUACCUGGACGGGUACUGACGCUGAGGCGCGAAAGCGUGGGGAGCAAACAGGGAUUAGAUACCCUGGUAGUCCACGCUGUAAACGAUGAGCACUUGGUGUUGCGGGUAUCGACCCCCCCCCUGCAGUGCCGAAGCUAACGCAUUAAGUGCUCCGCCUGGGAGUACGGUCGCAAGGCUG